CAGUCGCCGCGGUAAUACGGAGGGUGCAAGCGUUAAUCGGAAUUACUGGGCGUAAAGCGCACGCAGGCGGUCUGUCAAGUCAGAUGUGAAAUCCCCGGGCUUAACCUGGGAACUGCAUUUGAAACUGGCAGGCUAGAGUCUUGUAGAGGGGGGUAGAAUUCCAGGUGUAGCGGUGAAAUGCGUAGAGAUCUGGAGGAAUACCGGUGGCGAAGGCGGCCCCCUGGACAAAGACUGACGCUCAGGUGCGAAAGCGUGGGGAGCAAACAGGAUUAGAGACCCCAGUAGUCCCUGUCUCUUAUAC
This 301-nucleotide ribosomal RNA is filed under the name uncultured bacterium. RNAcentral describes it as "partial 16S ribosomal RNA". It matches the Rfam family "Bacterial small subunit ribosomal RNA", at positions 509 to 807 of the family's 1533-position model. The record is from RNAcentral.